RNAcentral lists this ribosomal RNA (390 nucleotides) under uncultured bacterium. Its description in RNAcentral is "bacterial SSU rRNA". It matches the Rfam family "Bacterial small subunit ribosomal RNA", at positions 29 to 409 of the family's 1533-position model. The record is from RNAcentral.
AAUGAACGCUGGCGGCGCGCCUAAUACAUGCAAGUCGAGCGAGAAGACGUAGCAAUACGUUUGUAAAGCGGCGAACGGGUGAGGAAUACAUGGGUAACCUACCCUCGAGUGGGGAAGUAACUAGCCGAAAGGUUAGCUAAUACCGCGUACGCUUCUUGGACUUCGGUUCAGGAGGAAAGCGAUACCGUGGGUAUCGCGCUCUUGGAUGGGCUCAUGUCCUAUCAGCUUGUUGGUGAGGUAACGGCUCACCAAGGCUUCGACGGGUAGCUGGUCUGAGAGGACGAUCAGCCACACUGGCACUGCGACACGGGCCAGACUCCUACGGGAGGCAGCAGUAAGGAAUAUUGCGCAAUGGGCGAAAGCCUGACGCAGCGACGCCGCGUGGGGGGA